This 413-nucleotide ribosomal RNA is filed under the name uncultured Candidatus Saccharibacteria bacterium. Its description in RNAcentral is "bacterial SSU rRNA". It matches the Rfam family "Bacterial small subunit ribosomal RNA", at positions 958 to 1385 of the family's 1533-position model. Lineage: Bacteria; Candidatus Saccharimonadota. The record is from RNAcentral.
AACGCGAAGAACCUUACCAGGGUUUGACAUCCCGAGAAUCUUUUCGAAAGAUUAGAGUGCCGCAAGGAACUCGGUGACAGGUGGUGCAUGGCCGUCGUCAGCUCGUGUCGUGAGAUGUUUGGUUAAGUCCAUUAACGAGCGCAACCCCUUUACUUAGUUGGAUUUUUCUAAGUAGACUGCCCCGGUAACGGGGAGGAAGGAGGGGAUGACGUCAGGUCAGUAUUUCCCUUACAUCCUGGGCUAGAAACACGCUACAAUGGCCGGUACAGAGGGCAGCCAAGUCGCGAGACGGAGCAAAUCCCAUCAAAACCGGUCUCAGUUCGGAUUGCAGGCUGAAACUCGCCUGCAUGAAGCUGGAAUCGCUAGUAACGGUAGGUCAGCACACUACCGUGAAUACGUUCCCGGGCCUUGUA